This 2903-nucleotide ribosomal RNA is filed under the name Leclercia pneumoniae. RNAcentral's name for it is "Leclercia sp. 4-9-1-25 23S ribosomal RNA". It matches the Rfam family "Bacterial large subunit ribosomal RNA". The record is from RNAcentral. Lineage: Bacteria; Pseudomonadati; Pseudomonadota; Gammaproteobacteria; Enterobacterales; Enterobacteriaceae.
GGUUAAGCGACUAAGCGUACACGGUGGAUGCCCUGGCAGUCAGAGGCGAUGAAGGACGUGCUAAUCUGCGAAAAGCGCCGGCGAGGUGAUAUGAACCUUUGACCCGGCGAUGUCCGAAUGGAAACCCAGUGCAACUCGUUGCACUAUCGUUAACUGAAUACAUAGGUUAACGAGGCGAACCGGGGGAACUGAAACAUCUAAGUACCCCGAGGAAAAGAAAUCAACCGAGAUUCCCCCAGUAGCGGCGAGCGAACGGGGAGCAGCCCAGAGUCUGAAUCAGCUUGUGUGUUAGUGGAAGCGUCUGGAAAGUCGCACGGUACAGGGUGAAAGUCCCGUACACGAAAACACACUUGCUGUGAACUCGAAGAGUAGGGCGGGACACGUGGUAUCCUGUCUGAAUAUGGGGGGACCAUCCUCCAAGGCUAAAUACUCCUGACUGACCGAUAGUGAACCAGUACCGUGAGGGAAAGGCGAAAAGAACCCCGGCGAGGGGAGUGAAAAAGAACCUGAAACCGUGUACGUACAAGCAGUGGGAGCACCCUAGUGGUGUGACUGCGUACCUUUUGUAUAAUGGGUCAGCGACUUAUAUUCUGUAGCAAGGUUAACCGUAUAGGGGAGCCGAAGGGAAACCGAGUCUUAACUGGGCGUUAAGUUGCAGGGUAUAGACCCGAAACCCGGUGAUCUAGCCAUGGGCAGGUUGAAGGUUGGGUAACACUAACUGGAGGACCGAACCGACUAAUGUUGAAAAAUUAGCGGAUGACCUGUGGCUGGGGGUGAAAGGCCAAUCAAACCGGGAGAUAGCUGGUUCUCCCCGAAAGCUAUUUAGGUAGCGCCUCGUGAACUCAUCUUCGGGGGUAGAGCACUGUUUCGGCUAGGGGGCCAUCCCGGCUUACCAACCCGAUGCAAACUACGAAUACCGAAGAAUGUUAUCACGGGAGACACACGGCGGGUGCUAACGUCCGUCGUGAAGAGGGAAACAACCCAGACCGCCAGCUAAGGUCCCAAAGUCAUGGUUAAGUGGGAAACGAUGUGGGAAGGCACAGACAGCCAGGAUGUUGGCUUAGAAGCAGCCAUCAUUUAAAGAAAGCGUAAUAGCUCACUGGUCGAGUCGGCCUGCGCGGAAGAUGUAACAGGGCUAAACCAUGCACCGAAGCUGCGGCAGCGACACUUAGGUGUUGUUGGGUAGGGAGCGUUCUGUAAGCCGUUGAAGGUGUGCUGUGAGGCAUGCUGGAGGUAUCAGAAGUGCGAAUGCUGACAUAAGUAACGAUAAAGCGGGUGAAAAGCCCGCUCGCCGGAAGACCAAGGGUUCCUGUCCAACGUUAAUCGGGGCAGGGUGAGUCGACCCCUAAGGCGAGGCCGAAAGGCGUAGUCGAUGGGAAACAGGUUAAUAUUCCUGUACUUGGUGUUACUGCGAAGGGGGGACGGAGAAGGCUAUGUUAGCCGGGCGACGGUUGUCCCGGUUUAAGCAUGUAGGCGGAGGUUCCAGGUAAAUCCGGUUCCUUUUUAACGCUGAGGUGUGAUGACGAGGCACUACGGUGCUGAAGUAACAAAUGCCCUGCUUCCAGGAAAAGCCUCUAAGCAUCAGGUAACACGAAAUCGUACCCCAAACCGACACAGGUGGUCAGGUAGAGAAUACCAAGGCGCUUGAGAGAACUCGGGUGAAGGAACUAGGCAAAAUGGUGCCGUAACUUCGGGAGAAGGCACGCUGAUAUGUAGGUGAAGUCCCUGCGGAUGGAGCUGAAAUCAGUCGAAGAUACCAGCUGGCUGCAACUGUUUAUUAAAAACACAGCACUGUGCAAACACGAAAGUGGACGUAUACGGUGUGACGCCUGCCCGGUGCCGGAAGGUUAAUUGAUGGGGUUAGCGGCAACGCGAAGCUCUUGAUCGAAGCCCCGGUAAACGGCGGCCGUAACUAUAACGGUCCCUAAGGUAGCGAAAUUCCUUGUCGGGUAAGUUCCGACCUGCACGAAUGGCGUAAUGAUGGCCAGGCUGUCUCCACCCGAGACUCAGUGAAAUUGAACUCGCUGUGAAGAUGCAGUGUACCCGCGGCAAGACGGAAAGACCCCGUGAACCUUUACUAUAGCUUGACACUGAACACUGGUCCUUGAUGUGUAGGAUAGGUGGGAGGCUUUGAAGCGUGGACGCCAGUCUGCGUGGAGCCAUCCUUGAAAUACCACCCUUUAAUGGCUGGUGUUCUAACGUAGACCCGUAAUCCGGGUUGCGGACAGUGUCUGGUGGGUAGUUUGACUGGGGCGGUCUCCUCCUAAAGAGUAACGGAGGAGCACGAAGGUUAGCUAAUCCUGGUCGGACAUCAGGAGGUUAGUGCAAUGGCAUAAGCUAGCUUGACUGCGAGAGUGACGGCUCGAGCAGGUGCGAAAGCAGGUCAUAGUGAUCCGGUGGUUCUGAAUGGAAGGGCCAUCGCUCAACGGAUAAAAGGUACUCCGGGGAUAACAGGCUGAUACCGCCCAAGAGUUCAUAUCGACGGCGGUGUUUGGCACCUCGAUGUCGGCUCAUCACAUCCUGGGGCUGAAGUAGGUCCCAAGGGUAUGGCUGUUCGCCAUUUAAAGUGGUACGCGAGCUGGGUUUAGAACGUCGUGAGACAGUUCGGUCCCUAUCUGCCGUGGGCGCUGGAGAAUUGAGGGGGGCUGCUCCUAGUACGAGAGGACCGGAGUGGACGCAUCACUGGUGUUCGGGUUGUCAUGCCAAUGGCACUGCCCGGUAGCUAAAUGCGGAAGAGAUAAGUGCUGAAAGCAUCUAAGCACGAAACUUGCCCCGAGAUGAGUUCUCCUGACUCCCUGAGAGUCCUGAAGGAACGUUGAAGACUACGACGUUGAUAGGUCGGGUGUGUAAGCGUAGCGAUACGUUGAGCUAACCGAUACUAAUGAACCGUGAGGCUUAACCUU